RNAcentral lists this ribosomal RNA (417 nucleotides) under uncultured Gammaproteobacteria bacterium. Its description in RNAcentral is "bacterial SSU rRNA". It matches the Rfam family "Bacterial small subunit ribosomal RNA", at positions 370 to 779 of the family's 1533-position model. Lineage: Bacteria; Pseudomonadati; Pseudomonadota; Gammaproteobacteria. The record is from RNAcentral.
AAUGGGGGAAACCCUGAUGCAGCCAUGCCGCGUGUGUGAAGAAGGCCUUCGGGUUGUAAAGCACUUUCAGUUGUGAGGAAAGGUUAGUAGUUAAUAACUGCUAGCUGUGACGUUAGCAACAGAAGAAGCACCGGCUAACUCCGUGCCAGCAGCCGCGGUAAUACGGAGGGUGCGAGCGUUAAUCGGAAUUACUGGGCGUAAAGCGUACGUAGGCGGUUUGUUAAGUCAGAUGUGAAAUCCCGGGGCUCAACCUCGGAACUGCAUUUGAAACUGGCAAACUAGAGUAUUGUAGAGGGUGGUGGAAUUUCCAGUGUAGCGGUGAAAUGCGUAGAGAUUGGAAGGAACAUCAGUGGCGAAGGCGGCCACCUGGACAAAUACUGACGCUGAGGUACGAAAGCGUGGGGAGCAAACAGGAUU